Molecule: ribosomal RNA, 253 nt
Filed under: uncultured bacterium
Lineage: Bacteria
Description: partial 16S ribosomal RNA
Rfam family: Bacterial small subunit ribosomal RNA
Source: RNAcentral
UACGGAGGGGGCUAGCGUUGUUCGGAAUUACUGGGCGUAAAGCGCACGUAGGCGGCUUUGUAAGUUAGAGGUGAAAGCCCGGAGCUCAACUCCGGAACUGCCUUUAAGACUGCAUCGCUUGAACGUCGGAGAGGUAAGUGGAAUUCCGAGUGUAGAGGUGAAGUUCGUAGAUAUUCGGAAGAACACCAGUGGCGAAGGCGACUUACUGGACGACUGUUGACGCUGAGGUGCGAAAGCGUGGGGAGCAAACAGG